Molecule: non-coding RNA, 213 nt
Filed under: Rhodopseudomonas palustris
Lineage: Bacteria; Pseudomonadati; Pseudomonadota; Alphaproteobacteria; Hyphomicrobiales; Nitrobacteraceae
Source: RNAcentral
UUGAUAGGCAUCAGGCGUAGUUCUCGUUCGGCGGUGCCGGACGAGAUAAUAGGGAACACGGUGCGCCGCGUCCGCGCGGUUAUUCCGAGGCUGCCCCCGCAACUGUAAGCGGCGAAUCUCGCCGAGAGAACACCACUGGUCCGCAAGGGCUGGGAAGGUUCGGCGAGAUGAUGACCCGUGAGCCAGGAGACCUGCCACAACCGUUCGCAGCCG